ACGGAGGUUGCAAGCGUUGUUCGGAAUAACUGGGCGUAAAGGGAGCGCAGGCGGAUUGUUAAGUUCAAAGUGAAAUCCCGGGGCUUAACCUCGGAAGUGCAUUUGAAACUGCAAUACUUGAGAGUGCGAGAGGAAAGCGGAAUUCCUGGUGUAGCGGUGAAAUGCGUAGAUAUCAGGAAGAACCCCGGUGGCGAAGGCAGCGUUCUGGGGCGUAUCUGACGCUGAGGCACGAAAGCGUGGGGAUCGAACAG
RNAcentral lists this ribosomal RNA (251 nucleotides) under uncultured prokaryote. RNAcentral describes it as "partial 16S rRNA". It matches the Rfam family "Bacterial small subunit ribosomal RNA", at positions 525 to 775 of the family's 1533-position model. The record is from RNAcentral.